GGCUUCGCUCCUGGGGAGCCAGAAGCAUGGAAUCAGAUGCCAAGAGGAUUAGGCCACCAACUUUGGCGUGUGCUCUUCGGGCCUGCCGUCUAACAGAAUGAGGGUUCCAGCGGUGUUCGCAUCAUCAGACGUCUAGUGUUCUGCACAUAAAACAAGCUCUUGAGGUCAGGAGACAACAUGCAAUCUAGCAGGCAGGUAGCUCGUGAAGCGUCUCAUCUCCCAGCAUAACAAGUGCUUCUCCAUCCAUAUGUACAGAAUUCCACUCUCCAGGUGGGAACGUUGUGAUGGAAUACGCUCUGAGAGAUAGAGGAGGCGACUUCUGCCAGGAGUGAUCAGGAGGACUUCUUGGAGGAGGCAGCACUUGAGCUGGUCUUGAAAGAUGAUGAGAUUUUAAUGGGAAAAGAGAUGAUCGAGAAGAACCUUCUAGCAGGAGGGAGCUGCCCUAGCAAAGACAGGAAGGCUGGAAAAUGCGAGAAGUGGGACAGGAAGAUCAACACAGGACCUCUCCCUUCUGAGCCAAACUGACACCUACCUCUUGCCAUGACAGGCCGCUCUUCUGGAGAUUAUAAACUAUUUAUUUUUAACAGAGAAACUGCCUUAGUUGGAGUUCUGGCUCUGCCACUUACUUAGGUAAGAAAGAACUUCUUGGGCCUCAGGCCCUCACCUGUAAAAGGGGCUGAAUAAUAGGAUUGUGCCUCUCUCCAAUGGGCUGUUAGAGGUUGGACUGCAUGCCCCCAAUACUCUUAUGCUGAGGCCUAACCCGGUGUGACUGCACAUGGAGACAGGGUGUGUAGGGAGGGGAUGAAGCUUAAGUGAGGCCACAGGGGAGGCCCAACCCUGUAGAGUCGUGUCUUUAUAAGGAGUGAAAGAGACACCAUUGCUUGCUUCUCUCCUGUGGGCAGAGGAAAGGCCAGGUGAGGACACAGGCAGGAGGUGCCCCCGCAGCCUCAGGCAGAGCCCUCACCACGCCAGCCCUGCUGACGCCUUGAUCUUGGACUCCCAGGCGUCUGCUGCAUAAGCCACCCCGUCCGACGUACUUUCCCAUGGCAGCUUGAGCAGAAUGAGACUGGGGCUUUGGAAGAAGGAACUUCACAUGUGAGGAGCUUGGAGAGUGGGACGUGCCAUGUGUGCACAUGUGCUGCUGGUGGUUGGUGUUAUUGUUAUUAUCAGGAGUGGCGUAUUCCCAGCCUCUGGAAGCUCACCUCGUGGUUUUCUUUCUUCUUCCACUUUUCGUUUUUUAGAUCAUGUCUGCCCUUAGCCUGACAUCCCCGCCAUGUAGGGCUCCAGGACUGCUGUGGCCUCAGCCCUUCCGGGCUCCAGGAGGCCCUGAUUCAUUGCUCUCCCCUCCCCCCUUGGCUGGCCUAGGUGCCUUGUCCUCUUUCUUGGGACGGUGCUCACUGACGGGCCCCAUGGGAGGAGGGAGACACGGCCAGCUGCCAUGCGGGAACAGCUGCCACAGCAUCGCCUCCUCCAGACAUUGCUCACCACCCCUGGCUUUCCUGAGCUUCUCACCAGCCCUGGUGGAAGUGAGCAAACAUGAUUACUUAUUCUUGUCUUCCCCAUCAGGAGGCCAGGGUGGGGGAAAGGCAGUGUGCCACUGAGUUGUUGGUCCUCUAACUUAGUGCUGGUCGCCCGCAUGUGCUCUAGGGCCUCGGGGCACGGUGCUGGGACAGCUCAGCUGGCAGACCUAGGACAGGGCUGGAAGGUGGGGGGCAGGGCUGGGGUCAGAACUUUUCUCCCUUCUUCCCUCCGGACUCAGGGAGGUCCCUUGGGCAAAUUCCUUGUCCAGACAGAGAUGUGUGGGGCGAGAGACACUCAGUCUCCUUAGGAGCAGUGAGCAGCGGGGGGCCCAAGACAACAGCCCCCUGUGGCCGCCUCCAGCCCCAGGACAGUGGCCUGAGCCCUGGGUCACCAUGCUCACUCCACCCAGCGCAGAAUUCUCCAGCGCCCAGCCUUGCAGAGGCAACGCGGCUCCGACAGGACCUGUAACCUCUUCCUGCCGCUUCUUUGUCAUGCAACCAGCCCUUCCCUCCAAAUCUUUCAAAAUCCUCUUCCCCAGGGGUCACUGCCCUGAUCUUCGGAGCAGGCUGUGGACAUGGACUCACUCUGCUGAGCUCUUCCUCCUCUGUGUACCGAGGCCACAGCCCCCACUCCGAUCCCCCACGCAGCCUCUGCCUGCGCUUUUGUCCCUUGUCCUUACCUUUAUCAAGCUCAAGGGACCCCGUAACCGCACGCCCUCCUCAGGGCCUUUUCAUUGGAAUUCCCACACUCUCUGCAUUUCUGAAGGACUGGUUGAAACCGCAGCGUUCUUCUAAGUGGUGAGCUCCCCGAGUGAAUCAAAAUCACACUUGAUUCCCCCAAAAUCCCAUUUGUCAGGAGUGCGGCUGCUGCAGAAAGUGUCUCUGGAGCUUGGGAAGCAGGCGCGGGGCCACUCUAAACUCUCCUGUGCUCAUCACGCGCCCUUUCUGCAUCCUGCGGGCACGUUGGUCGGACCCUGUCGAUAUCAAACGGUGAUCACUGUUAAUGAAUGGCACUGUUCCCACACAGGACCUCUAAUUACUACUGCGUUCUUAUGAGGAGUGCCUUGUGCUUUGCAGCAUCUAACGUCUUGGUAGUGACCUGCCAGUGCCUGUCCAACCUGUCAGCAGAUCACGGUCGCGAACCCUGGGAGAGAGCUGACAACACGUUUCCCGUGUGAGACUCUGUGUCUCCCGAGAAGCAGACACCAAGACAGGAUGAGAGAUGCACAGAUUUUAUUGGGAAAAACACCUGCAGGAGAAAACGGUCAUCAGAGCCUGAACAAGUCCUCCCGCAAUGACCUACCAGGUGGUGCCAGGCCUGUAGCAGGUACCCUGGAUCGGAUCGGCUGCUCUGCUCCACGAGGCUCCCAGCACCAUCUCAGCAGGUCGGCGCUGCCUCAGGUCUGAAAUGAUGUCUUCUCUUUCCUGUUUUCUGAGCAGCUCAUUCUGCUGCCCGUCAAAUAGGCCCUUUCCCCAGGACCCUUGGGGUCCAGCUGAGUGGAGCAGCCUCCCACACUGGAAGCCUUGAGUUUUCCCCACCUGGGCCUUUCUCUCUGUCCCUGACAUCCGGUUGGUCACCAGAUCCUGGCAGUUGAAAGUCAUUCUCAAGUCCAGCCCCACCACUGCACCUCGGUCCAUGCUCCUGGACACCAGUCUCUCACCGAGCGCUAUGCGUGGCUUGCGUCUGCGGCUGAGAAAUCCUUUCAAACGCACGCCUUCCCUAUUAUAUCCAGCAUAGGAUCUGACCCGGCAGGACCUCAGUAAAGACUUGUGGCUGCUUUAAGAGUGGGCACCUGCCGUCACAUUUUCCUCAGCAUUUUCCCUAUGCUGCUGGCGCAUUGGGUAGCUCUACUCAACCCAUGACGGAUUGCAGAUCUUUUGGCCGCUGCAUUCACAAAUUUGUCCCGAGCCGCUCCAUGGAAGGCAUCCCAGAAGCCUAUCAAUCUUCCCAUGAGUGUUCAAGAUUCCCAAAUCCCCAAAAGGCCCUAAUACCAUCUCUGUGUGAGCAGCUGCCCAUGUGUUGGGGAGUGCCCUGCCUGAGGCAGAGGGCGCACUGCAUCUGUUUGGAGGUGGGUGAGCCUCACGUGUUCUGCACAGGGCAUGAGGUAGGCAUUGGAGAGCAGCCCUGGCCCCCCCACCCAGGGGACAGUAGGUGGGGUUCUAAAUUAUGAGUCAUUAAUCAGCUCUUCAUAUGUCUGAAUUAUUCAUAAAGUAAGUGCUUGUGGUUUGGAUGCUAGUCUAUGAAUAUAUAGGCAAAUUAUUUAUUAUGGCAUUUACAUGGAUUUUGCAAAAAAGUUUUCCAGAAACCCUUUAGGUUCAGUGGUUGAAUUUAACAAAUAUUUCCUGUGCACCUACUCUAUGACAGAAAUUGUGAUUGGCGUUAAAGACAUAAAGAUGAAUAGGAUAAUAAGCACCUGCCUUCAGUGUGCUCUGGGUUAGCAGGGAGAACACACAAUCCAGCUGGUCCACAGAGGCUGACUUAUUAACAACAUUUAUCACAGCAUGUGGGAAAUAUGAGCUAACUGUAUUUCAGAUAGUAACAUGACCACGCCAAAACCAAACCAAAUCAAAACAAGGCAAGAAACCAAACCAACAAACCAACCCCACCACCACAACAGAAACUAACCCAAGUAACAUUGAACACGGAACCUUGACCUAUAACCCUUGUCCUGCAGACAAAAUACCUGCAAACAAAUAUUGAACUUGACUUGUGGGUUUGCUUUCACUGUGGUGCAAGGUAGCAAUUCUGUAAUGAUUUUCUGUCUUGUAGGGUUGAGCAAAUACAAGAUUCCACCAGUGCUGUUGGAAGCCAGCGUUCUUGUUUUUGGAAAGGGGACAUUUUCUUUCUUUCUCUUAUUUUUUUCCCUCCCUCCCUCCCUCCCUCCCUCCCUCCCUCCCUUCCUUCCUUUCCGUCAAAGCACUUACAAUCUUCUCACAUACUAUACAAUUUACUUAUUUAUUGUGUUCCCCAUUUGGUGUCUGUCUUCCCCCCGGGGGCAGGGCUCUUUGCUGCUUCAUCCAAUAUGUGUUCACGAUCUGAGUGCCUGCAAUAGUAGGCAUGUGCUUAUCUAGUGAAUGAUGGGCAAUGGUGGUGGAGAUGCAGAUUAGGACCAGGUCAUGGGGAGUACUGGAUUACGAAAGUGAACACAUUUGGAUUUCAGCCUGUUGGAAAAUGAGAUGAUGCUGGAAGUGGUGAAGGGGCUGCAACAUGAUGAGAG
Molecule: long non-coding RNA, 4738 nt
Filed under: Homo sapiens (human)
Lineage: Eukaryota; Metazoa; Chordata; Mammalia; Primates; Hominidae
Description: HSALNT0344318
Source: RNAcentral